This 466-nucleotide ribosomal RNA is filed under the name uncultured bacterium. RNAcentral describes it as "bacterial SSU rRNA". It matches the Rfam family "Bacterial small subunit ribosomal RNA", at positions 64 to 524 of the family's 1533-position model. The record is from RNAcentral.
GAACGGCAGCCAGGUAGCAAUACGGGUGGCGAGUGGCGGACGGGUGAGGAAUACAUCGGGACCUGCCCAGACGUGGGGGAUAACGUAGGGAAACUUACGCUAAUACCGCAUACGUCCUACGGGUAGAAAGCGGGGGAUCGCAAGACCUCGCGCGGUUGGAUGGACCGAUGUUCGAUUAGCUAGUUGGUAGGGUAAUGGCCUACCAAGGCGACGAUCGAUAGCUGGUCUGAGAGGAUGAUCAGCCACACUGGGACUGAGACACGGCCCAGACUCCUACGGGAGGCAGCAGUGGGGAAUAUUGGACAAUGGGCGCAAGCCUGAUCCAGCAAUGCCGCGUGUGUGAAGAAGGCCUUCGGGUUGUAAAGCACUUUUAUCAGGAGCGAAAUACUACCGGCUAAUACCCGGUGGGGCUGACGGUACCUGAGGAAUAAGCACCGGCUAACUUCGUGCCAGCAGCCGCGGUAAU